This 254-nucleotide ribosomal RNA is filed under the name uncultured bacterium. Its description in RNAcentral is "partial 16S ribosomal RNA". It matches the Rfam family "Bacterial small subunit ribosomal RNA", at positions 524 to 776 of the family's 1533-position model. The record is from RNAcentral.
UACGUAGGGUCCGAGCGUUGUCCGGAAUUAUUGGGCGUAAAGAGCUCGUAGGCGGCUCGGUAAGUCAGGUGUGAAAACUCUAGGCUCAACCUAGAGACGCCACCUGAUACUGCCGUGGCUAGAGUCCGGUAGGGGAGCAUGGAAUUCCUGGUGUAGCGGUGAAAUGCGCAGAUAUCAGGAGGAACACCAGUGGCGAAGGCGGUGCUCUGGGCCGGAACUGACGCUGAGGAGCGAAAGCGUGGGGAGCAAACAGG